UAACUCAGUUGGUAGAGCAUGGCGCUUGCAACGCCAGGGUUGUGGGUUCGUUUCUCAC
Molecule: transfer RNA, 58 nt
Filed under: Salmo salar (Atlantic salmon)
Lineage: Eukaryota; Metazoa; Chordata; Actinopteri; Salmoniformes; Salmonidae
Also listed under: 1 other name
Rfam family: tRNA
About the family: Transfer RNA (tRNA) molecules are approximately 80 nucleotides in length. Their secondary structure includes four short double-helical elements and three loops (D, anti-codon, and T loops).
Source: Rfam by way of RNAcentral